This 487-nucleotide ribosomal RNA is filed under the name uncultured bacterium. Its description in RNAcentral is "bacterial SSU rRNA". It matches the Rfam family "Bacterial small subunit ribosomal RNA", at positions 501 to 987 of the family's 1533-position model. The record is from RNAcentral.
CUACGUGCCAGCAGCCGCGGUAAUACGUAGGUGGCAAGCGUUGUCCGGAAUUAUUGGGCGUAAAGCGCGCGCAGGCGGAUUGGUCAGUCUGUCUUAAAAGUUCGGGGCUUAACCCCGUGAUGGGAUGGAAACUGCCAAUCUAGAGUAUCGGAGAGGAAAGUGGAAUUCCUAGUGUAGCGGUGAAAUGCGUAGAUAUUAGGAAGAACACCAGUGGCGAAGGCGACUUUCUGGACGAAAACUGACGCUGAGGCGCGAAAGCCAGGGGAGCGAACGGGAUUAGAUACCCCGGUAGUCCUAGCCGUAAACGAUGGGUACUAGGUGUAGGAGGUAUCGACCCCUUCUGUGCCGGAGUUAACGCAAUAAGUACCCCGCCUGGGGAGUACGGCCGCAAGGUUGAAACUCAAAGGAAUUGACGGGGGCCCGCACAAGCGGUGGAGUAUGUGGUUUAAUUCGACGCAACGCGAAGAACCUUACCAAGCCUUGACAU